UACGUAGGGGGCAAGCGUUGUCCGGAAUCAUUGGGCGUAAAGCGCGUGUAGGCGGUUCGGUAAGUCGGCUGUGAAAGUCCAGGGCUCAACCCUGGGAUGCCGGUCGAUACUGCCGGACUAGAGUUCGGAAGAGGCGAGUGGAAUUCCCGGUGUAGCGGUGAAAUGCGCAGAUAUCGGGAGGAACACCAAUGGCGAAGGCAGCUCGCUGGGACGUUACUGACGCUGAGACGCGAAAGCGUGGGGAGCAAACAGG
RNAcentral lists this ribosomal RNA (253 nucleotides) under uncultured bacterium. Its description in RNAcentral is "partial 16S ribosomal RNA". It matches the Rfam family "Bacterial small subunit ribosomal RNA", at positions 524 to 776 of the family's 1533-position model. The record is from RNAcentral.